This 253-nucleotide ribosomal RNA is filed under the name uncultured bacterium. RNAcentral's name for it is "partial 16S ribosomal RNA". It matches the Rfam family "Bacterial small subunit ribosomal RNA", at positions 524 to 776 of the family's 1533-position model. The record is from RNAcentral.
UACGUAGGGGGCAAGCGUUGUCCGGAAUUAUUGGGCGUAAAGAGCGCGCAGGCGGUCAAGUCAGUCGAAUGUGAAAGCCCCCGGCUCAACUGGGGAGGGUCAUUCGAUACUGCUCGACUUGAAGGCAGGAGAGGGAAGUGGAAUUCCCGGUGUAGUGGUGAAAUGCGUAGAUAUCGGGAGGAACACCAGUGGCGAAGGCGACUUUCUGGCCUGUUCUUGACGCUGAGGCGCGAAAGCUAGGGGAGCAAACGGG